Molecule: ribosomal RNA, 851 nt
Filed under: uncultured bacterium
Lineage: Bacteria
Description: bacterial SSU rRNA
Rfam family: Bacterial small subunit ribosomal RNA
Source: RNAcentral
AGAGUUUGAUCCUGGUUCAGGAUGAACGUAAGCGGCAGGCUUAACACAUGCAAGUCGAGGGGCAGCAUGUCCAGCAAUGGAUGAUGCGAACCGGCGGAAGGGUGCGUAACGCGUGAGCAACAUGCCCUAUACAGGGAGAUACACCAGGGAAAUUUGGUCUAAUAUCCCAUAGCAUUCAUUGAAGGCAUCUUUAAUGAAUUAAAGCUUCGGUGGUAUAGGAUUGGCUCGCGUGACAUUAGCCAGAUGGUGAGGUAACGGCUCACCAUAGCAAUGAUGUCUAGGGGUUUUGAGAGGAAGGCCCCCCACACUGGGACUGAGACACGGCCCAGACUCCUACGGGAGGCAGCAGUGAGGAAUAUUGGACAAUGGAUGGAAAUCUGAUCCAGCCAUGCCGCGUGCAGGAAGACGGCCUUAUGGGUUGUAAACUGCUUUUAUACGGGAGCAAUAAGGGUUACGAGUAAUCCGAUGAGAGUACUGUAUGAAUAAGGAUCGGCUAACUCCGUGCCAGCAGCCGCGGUAAUACGGAGGAUCCGAGCGUUAUCCGGAAUUAUUGGGUUUAAAGGGUGCGUAGGCGGCCAUUUAAGUCAGCGGUGAAAUUUUGCAGCUUAACUGUAACAGUGCCGUUGAUACUGUUUGGCUAGGAUUUGGUUGUAGUGUGCGGAAUGUGUGGUGUAGCGGUGAAAUGCUUAGAUAUCACACAGAACACCGAUUGCGAAGGCAGCACACUAAGUCAUUAUUGACGCUGAGGCACGAAAGUGUGGGGAUCAAACAGGAUUAGAUACCCUGGUAGUCCACACUGUAAACGAUGAUAACUCGCUGUCGGCGAUACACAGUCGGGGCCAAGCGAAAGC